UUUAGCCUCAUGAGAUAUGAGUGCCCUGCAGGAAUGAAAAGAAUCCUUCAUCAAUAGCUUCCUGCCCCCAAAUAAGGAACCAUUGCUCUGUUCUCCUCAGCAAAUAAUAUUGACAUGAAACUUACUGCCAUCUGCUUCCCAAAUAAAGGCUUCUGUUGGGACAACCUUCAAGACCAGGGGCUGAGCCCAGCAUACUCAAAGGCUGUGGAUUCAUCAUCAAGAACAAGAAACGGAUGGAGAACCACACAGAGAUACACAAUACCUAAAUGUCCCCACCAUGGUAUGACACAGCCAAGAAAUUUUUCCUAGAAGUUGUGUUAUGCUUUUUUGAUAGCCAGCCUCUGAAACAGUGAAAUAAUUAAAUGUUUUCUCUUUAUAAGUUA
Molecule: long non-coding RNA, 383 nt
Organism: Rattus rattus (black rat)
Lineage: Eukaryota; Metazoa; Chordata; Mammalia; Rodentia; Muridae
Exons: 2
Source: RefSeq, a predicted model, not a curated record